GAUGAACGCUGGCGGCGUGCCUAAUACAUGCAAGUCGAGCGAACAGACGAUGAGCUUGCGCCUCUGACGUUAGCGGCUGACGGGUGAGUAACACGUGCAUAACCUACUUAUAAUACUGGGAUAACAACGGGAAACCGGAGCUAAUACUGGAUAAUAUAUUGAACCGCAUGGUUCAAUAGUGAAAGACGGUUUUGCUGUCACUUAUAGAUGGAUCCGCGCCGCAUUAGCGAGUUGGUAAGGUAACGGCUUACCAAGGCGACGAUGCGUAGCCGACCUGAGAGGGUGAUCGGCCACACUGGAACUGCGACACGGUCCAGACUCCUACGGGAGGCAGCAGUAGGGAAUCUUGCGCAAUGGGCGAAAGCCUGACGGAGCAACGCCGCGUGAGUGAUGAAGGUCUUCGGAUCGUAAAACUCUGUUAUUAGGGAAGAACAAAUGUGUAAGUAACUAUGCACGUCUUGACGGUACCUAAUCAGAAAGCCACGGCUAACUACGUG
This 497-nucleotide ribosomal RNA is filed under the name uncultured bacterium. RNAcentral describes it as "partial 16S ribosomal RNA". It matches the Rfam family "Bacterial small subunit ribosomal RNA", at positions 28 to 507 of the family's 1533-position model. The record is from RNAcentral.